This 532-nucleotide ribosomal RNA is filed under the name uncultured Bacillota bacterium. RNAcentral's name for it is "bacterial SSU rRNA". It matches the Rfam family "Bacterial small subunit ribosomal RNA", at positions 168 to 704 of the family's 1533-position model. Lineage: Bacteria; Bacillati; Bacillota. The record is from RNAcentral.
ACCGGAUAGGACGAAAGUUUAAAGGUGCUUCGGCACCACUGAUGGAUGAGCCUGCGGCGCAUUAGCUAGUUGGUAGGGUAAAGGCCUACCAAGGCGACGAUGCGUAGCCGACCUGAGAGGGUGAACGGCCACACUGGGACUGAGACACGGCCCAGACUCCUACGGGAGGCAGCAGUAGGGAAUCUUCGGCAAUGGGCGAAAGCCUGACCGAGCAACGCCGCGUGAAUGAUGAAGGCCUUCGGGUUGUAAAAUUCUGUUAUAAGGGAAGAAUGGCUCUAGUAGGAAAUGGCUAGAGUGUGACGGUACCUUAUGAGAAAGCCACGGCUAACUACGUGCCAGCAGCCGCGGUAAUACGUAGGUGGCGAGCGUUAUCCGGAAUUAUUGGGCGUAAAGAGCGCGCAGGUGGUUGAUUAAGUCUGAUGUGAAAGCCCACGGCUUAACCGUGGAGGGUCAUUGGAAACUGGUCAACUUGAGUGCAGAAGAGGGAAGUGGAAUUCCAUGUGUAGCGGUGAAAUGCGUAGAGAUAUGGAGG